This is an RNA transcript of Hyla sarda, 2148 nucleotides long. It is a transcript of the gene named vacuolar protein sorting 4 homolog A, with no coding region annotated. The transcript has 12 exons. Lineage: Eukaryota; Metazoa; Chordata; Amphibia; Anura; Hylidae. The record is from RefSeq and is a predicted model, not a curated record.
CGCAUCGUAGAUCACAUGACCUCCACAGCUGCUUCCGGUUUCGUACGGCGCUGUCUUAAUGGUUUCGACUAUACGUCACUUCUGGUUCCGGUGAAGUGUCAGGCCCCGGAAUCCAGAGAAACCCUUGAGACACCGGGAGAUGAGAUGACAACGUCAACACUGCAGAAAGCCAUUGAUUUGGUAACCAAAGCCACAGAGGAGGAUAAGAACAAGAACUACGAAGAGGCUUUGAGGUUAUACCAGCAUGCGGUGGAGUAUUUUCUGCAUGCCAUCAAGUAUGAAGCUCACAGCGACAAGGCCAAGGAGAGCAUCCGAGCCAAAUGCAUGCAGUACCUGGAUAGAGCUGAGAAGCUUAAGGAUUAUUUAAAAGCAAAGGACAAGCAAGGCAAAAAGCCUGUGAAAGAAUCCCAGAAUGAGAAAGGAUGCGAUAGUGAUGGUGAAGGAGAAAGUCCGGAAAAAAAAAAACUACAGGAACAACUAAUGGGUGCCAUUGUAAUGGAGAAGCCAAAUGUGCGAUGGAAUGAUGUGGCUGGACUAGAAGUAGCUAAAGAAGCUUUAAAAGAGGCUGUCAUUUUGCCUAUCAAGUUUCCCCAUCUCUUUACUGGAAAGCGUACCCCUUGGCGUGGUAUCUUGCUCUUUGGACCACCAGGAACAGGAAAAUCAUACCUGGCCAAAGCUGUAGCAACAGAAGCCAAUAACUCUACAUUCUUCUCUGUGUCAUCCUCUGAUCUGAUGUCCAAGUGGCUUGGAGAGAGUGAGAAGCUGGUGAAAAAUCUAUUUGAGUUGGCGAGGCAACAUAAACCUUCUAUUAUAUUUAUUGAUGAAGUCGACUCUCUCUGUGGCUCUCGGAAUGAAAAUGAAAGUGAAGCUGCUCGGAGAAUCAAGACAGAAUUCCUUGUGCAGAUGCAAGGUGUUGGGAAUAACAGUGAUGGUAUCCUGGUCCUGGGAGCCACAAACAUACCUUGGGUGCUGGACUCUGCCAUCAGGAGGAGGUUUGAGAAGCGGAUAUACAUCCCUCUGCCUGAAGAGGCUGCUCGAGCACAGAUGUUUCGGUUGCACUUGGGUAAUACAGCUCACAGCCUGAGUAAGGCAAACAUCCGUGAGCUGGCCAACAAAACUGAAGGAUACUCAGGAGCUGAUAUUAGUAUUAUCGUCAGAGAUGCGCUAAUGCAGCCCGUGCGCAAGGUGCAAUCAGCCACACACUUCAAGAAGGUACGAGGUCCAUCUCGCACCAACCCUGGAGUCAUAAUAGAUGACCUUCUGUCGCCCUGUUCUCCUGGAGAUCCAGGUGCAAUUGAGAUGACUUGGAUGGAAGUAGCCAGUGAUAAGCUGCUGGAGCCUGUAGUGUGCAUGAUUUUUGGGUAAAAUGACUGACGUCAUUACAAAGUAGAAUUGGUGGCGAAAAAGUAAACAAUCAUAUGGAUUUUUAGGUGAAAGAUUGAAAGAGUUAUGAUUUUUUAAAGUCUGAUAUGCUGAGAUCUCUGGCCACCACGCGGCCUACCGUCAACUCGGAGGAUCUUCUAAAAGUGAAGAAAUUUACAGAAGACUUUGGGCAGGAGGGAUAAGGUGCACUACAAGGGGUGGGUGCAUCGGGUGUGCUUUAUGUUCUAAGUGCCCCCCAUCAAUAACAUCACAGGAAAUUGCAGGCUCUGGCCACUUUCUUCAAUAUCUUGGACUCCUACCCUCCCUUUGGGCCCUGCACGGCCUGGGAGGCACCACCUACCUACAGAGGUUUACAUUCAUCAGUCACCAGACCUUCAAUGUGAUGGCCUUCCCUGUACCCUCUCCCCUCUAACAAACUGCUGGGGCCUCCAACCUUCCCUCAUUGCCUGACUUACAAUUACAACUGACUUCUAAUUGACUGUAAUGUCCCUUUCCUUUCAGUCCCCCCUUGGCAGCAUUGGCAGGUUUGUUUCAAUAUACUGUCGCUGCCAGACCCUCUUACUCCCACUGUCCAUAUCUUUUCCCCUAUUUCCCUGCCAGUACCUGAUGUGUGCAUUACUGGGGAUGAGUGAGUGUUCAGCUAUGUAAAUAUAUCUUCUUUUCUCUCUCUUUCAAAUCACGUUCUAUGUCUGAUGCUCAUUCUUAAAUAAAGCUGCUCCUGAACUGCUAUCUGUGCCAACAGCAGAGGGGCAACCAUUCAAACUC